Molecule: ribosomal RNA, 867 nt
Filed under: uncultured organism
Description: bacterial SSU rRNA
Rfam family: Bacterial small subunit ribosomal RNA
Source: RNAcentral
GGCUUAGAGUUUGAUCAUGGCUCAGGAUGAACGCUAGCGGCAGGCCUAACACAUGCAAGUCGAGGGGCAUCGGGAUUGAAGCUUGCUUCAAUUGCCGGCGACCGGCGCACGGGUGCGUAACGCGUAUGUAACCUACCUAUAACAGGGGCAUAACACUGAGAAAUUGGUACUAAUUCCCCAUAAUAUUCGGAGAGGCAUCUCUCCGGGUUGAAAACUCCGGUGGUUAUAGAUGGACAUGCGUUGUAUUAGCUAGUUGGUGAGGUAACGGCUCACCAAGGCAACGACACAUAGGGGGACUGAGAGGUUAACCCCCCACACUGGUACUGAGACACGGACCAGACUCCUACGGGAGGCAGCAGUGAGGAAUAUUGGUCAAUGGACGCAAGUCUGAACCAGCCAUGCCGCGUGCAGGAAGACGGCUCUAUGAGUUGUAAACUGCUUUUGUACGAGGGUAAACUCACCUACGUGUAGGUGACUGAAAGUAUCGUACGAAUAAGGAUCGGCUAACUCCGUGCCAGCAGCCGCGGUAAUACGGAGGAUUCAAGCGUUAUCCGGAUUUAUUGGGUUUAAAGGGUGCGUAGGCGGUUUGAUAAGUUAGAGGUGAAAUCCCGGGGCUUAACUCCGGAACUGCCUCUAAUACUGUUAGACUAGAGAGUAGUUGCGGUAGGCGGAAUGUAUGGUGUAGCGGUGAAAUGCUUAGAGAUCAUACAGAACACCGAUUGCGAAGGCAGCUUACCAAACUAUAUCUGACGUUGAGGCACGAAAGCGUGGGGAGCAAACAGGAUUAGAUACCCUGGUAGUCACGCAGUAAACGAUGAUAACUCGUUGUCGGCGAUACACAGUCGGUGACCAAGCGAAAGCGAUAAG